UGAGUCUGGGAUUUCUGAAUGGGGAAACCCACGUGCAUAAGCACGUAUCCUUACCUGAAUACAUAGGGUAAGGAGGCGAACCGGGGGAACUGAAACAUCUAAGUACCCCGAGGAAAAGAAAUCAACCGAGAUUCCGAAAGUAGCGGCGAGCGAAAUUGGACUAGCCCUUAAGCUUUACACGCGUUAGACGAACGGUCUGGAAAGUCCGACGAUACAGGGUGAUAGUCCCGUAGUUGACGACGUGUGUUCAGUGAAAUCGAGUAGGGCGGGACACGUGAUAUCCUGUCUGAAUAUGGGGGGACCAUCCUCCAAGGCUAAAUACUACUGACUGACCGAUAGUGAACCAGUACCGUGAGGGAAAGGCGAAAAGAACCCCUGUGAGGGGAGUGAAAUAGAACCUGAAACCGUGUACGUACAAGCAGUAGGAGCAGGCUUGUCCUGUGACUGCGUACCUUUUGUAUAAUGGGUCAGCGACUUAUAUUCAGUGGCAAGGUUAACCAUCUAGGGGAGCCGUAGGGAAACCGAGUCUUAACUGGGCGUUCAGUCUCUGGAUAUAGACCCGAAACCAGGUGAUCUAGCCAUGGGCAGGUUGAAGGUUGAGUAACAUCAACUGGAGGACCGAACCGACUAAUGUUG
This 636-nucleotide ribosomal RNA is filed under the name Vibrio parahaemolyticus. RNAcentral's name for it is "partial 23S ribosomal RNA". It matches the Rfam family "Bacterial large subunit ribosomal RNA", at positions 100 to 791 of the family's 2925-position model. Lineage: Bacteria; Pseudomonadati; Pseudomonadota; Gammaproteobacteria; Vibrionales; Vibrionaceae. The record is from RNAcentral.